GCCGAUGUAGCUCAGUGGUAGAGUAGGUGGCUGUUAACCACCCUGCCGCAGGUUCGAACCCUGCCAUCGGCGCCA
Molecule: transfer RNA, 75 nt
Filed under: Victivallales bacterium
Lineage: Bacteria; Pseudomonadati; Lentisphaerota; Lentisphaeria; Victivallales
Description: tRNA-Asn
Rfam family: tRNA
About the family: Transfer RNA (tRNA) molecules are approximately 80 nucleotides in length. Their secondary structure includes four short double-helical elements and three loops (D, anti-codon, and T loops).
Source: RNAcentral